This 321-nucleotide unclassified non-coding RNA is filed under the name Agrocybe pediades. RNAcentral describes it as "partial internal transcribed spacer region". The stretch from base 1 to 46 matches the Rfam family "Eukaryotic small subunit ribosomal RNA", at positions 1786 to 1831 of the family's 1831-position model. Lineage: Eukaryota; Fungi; Basidiomycota; Agaricomycetes; Agaricales; Agrocybaceae. The record is from RNAcentral.
AAGUCGUAACAAGGUUUCCGUAGGUGAACCUGCGGAAGGAUCAUUAUUGAAAUAAACCUGGCGUGGUUGUAGCUGGUCCUCUCGGGGACAUGUGCUCGCCCGUCAUCUUUAUAUCUCCACCUGUGCACCCUUUGUAGACCUGGACGAUAACUUUCCGAGGCAACUCGGUCGGGAGGACUGCUGGCUUUCACGAGUCGGCUUUCCUUGUAUUAUCCAGGCCUAUGUCUUACACAUACCCCAAAGAAUGUAACAGAAUGUAUUGUAUAUGGCCUAGUGCCUAUAAACUAUAUACAACUUUCAGCAACGGAUCUCUUGGCUCUC